Molecule: transfer RNA, 69 nt
Filed under: Viviparus chui
Lineage: Eukaryota; Metazoa; Mollusca; Gastropoda; Architaenioglossa; Viviparidae
Description: tRNA-Pro
Source: RNAcentral
CAGAUUAAUAGUUUAAUAAAAUAUUAGCAUUGGAAGCUAAAGAUUAGGUUAUGGGUGCCUAUAGUUUGA